GGGGUGUAACUCAGUUGGUAGAGUGCUUGCCUUGCACACACAAGGUCCUGGGUUCAAUCCCCAGCACCACCA
This 72-nucleotide transfer RNA is filed under the name Marmota marmota marmota (Alpine marmot). It matches the Rfam family "tRNA". Rfam says of the family: Transfer RNA (tRNA) molecules are approximately 80 nucleotides in length. Their secondary structure includes four short double-helical elements and three loops (D, anti-codon, and T loops). Further hydrogen bonds mediate the characteristic L-shaped molecular structure. tRNAs have two regions of fundamental functional importance: the anti-codon, which is responsible for specific mRNA codon recognition, and the 3' end, to which the tRNAs corresponding amino acid is attached (by aminoacyl-tRNA synthetases). tRNAs cope with the degeneracy of the genetic code in two manners: having more than one tRNA (with a specific anti-codon) for a particular amino acid; and 'wobble' base-pairing, i.e. permitting non-standard base-pairing at the 3rd anti-codon position. Lineage: Eukaryota; Metazoa; Chordata; Mammalia; Rodentia; Sciuridae. The record is from Rfam by way of RNAcentral. RNAcentral also lists the same sequence under 1 other name.